CGGGUGGCAGCAGUGGGGAAUCUUGCGCAAUGGGCGAAAGCCUGACGCAGCCAUGCCGCGUGAAUGAUGAAGGUCUUAGGAUUGUAAAAUUCUUUCACCGGGGACGAUAAUGACGGUACCCGGAGAAGAAGCCCCGGCUAACUUCGUGCCAGCAGCCGCGGUAAUACGAAGGGGGCUAGCGUUGCUCGGAAUUACUGGGCGUAAAGGGAGCGUAGGCGGACAGUUAAGUUAGAGGUGAAAGCCCAGGGCUCAACCUUGGAAUUGCCUUUGAUACUGGCUGUCUUGAGUAUGGGAGAGGUGUGUGGAACUCCGAGUGUAGAGGUGAAAUUCGUAGAUAUUCGGAAGAACACCAGUGGCGAAGGCGACACACUGGCCCAUUACUGACGCUGAGGCUCGAAAGCGUGGGGAGCAAACAGGAUUAGAUACCCGAGU
Molecule: ribosomal RNA, 432 nt
Filed under: uncultured Caulobacteraceae bacterium
Lineage: Bacteria; Pseudomonadati; Pseudomonadota; Alphaproteobacteria; Caulobacterales; Caulobacteraceae
Description: bacterial SSU rRNA
Rfam family: Bacterial small subunit ribosomal RNA
Source: RNAcentral